Molecule: ribosomal RNA, 496 nt
Filed under: uncultured bacterium
Lineage: Bacteria
Description: partial 16S ribosomal RNA
Rfam family: Bacterial small subunit ribosomal RNA
Source: RNAcentral
AUGAACGCUGGCGGCGUGCCUCAUACAUGCCAGUCGAGCGAACGGACGAGAAGCUUGCUUCUCUGAUGUUAGCGGCGGACGGGUGAGUAACACGUGGAUAACCUACCUAUAAGACUGAGAUAACUUCGGGAAACCGGAUCUAAUACCGGAUGAUAUUUUGAACCGCAUGGUUCCAAAGUGAAAGACGGUCUUGCUGUCACUUAUAGAUGGAUCCGCGCUGCAUUAGCUAGUUGGUAAGGUAACGGCUUACCAAGGCAACGAUGCAUAGCCGACCUGAGAGGGUGAUCGGCCACACUGGAACUGAGACACGGUCCAGACUCCUACGGGAGGCAGCAGUAGGGAAUCUUCCGCAAUGGGCGAAGGCCUGACGGAGCAACGCCGCGUGAGUGAUGAAGGUCUUCGGAUCGUAAAACUCUGUUAUUAGGGAAGAACAUAUGUGUAAGUAACUGUGCACAUCUUGACGGUACCUAAUCAGAAAGCCACGGCUAACUACGUG